This 253-nucleotide ribosomal RNA is filed under the name uncultured bacterium. Its description in RNAcentral is "partial 16S ribosomal RNA". It matches the Rfam family "Bacterial small subunit ribosomal RNA", at positions 524 to 776 of the family's 1533-position model. The record is from RNAcentral.
UACGGAGGGUGCAAACGUUGCUCGGAAUCAUUGGGCGUAAAGCGCACGUAGGCGGUCCGGUAAGUCGGAUGUGAAAUCCCUCGGCUCAACCGAGGAAGGGCAUCCGAAACUGCCGGGCUUGAGUACGGAAGAGGGUCUCGGAAUUCCCGGUGUAGAGGUGAAAUUCGUAGAUAUUGGGAGGAACACCGGCGGCGAAGGCGGCGACCUGGUUCGAUACUGACGCUGAGGCGCGAAAGCGUGGGGAGCAAACAGG